Anas platyrhynchos (mallard) is the source of this 2071-nucleotide non-coding RNA. The record is from RefSeq and is a predicted model, not a curated record. Lineage: Eukaryota; Metazoa; Chordata; Aves; Anseriformes; Anatidae.
GCUGGCGCCUCAGGAAGGAGCCGGGGGGGGGGCCCGGGCCGGGCAGGGGGAACGAGGGGGGAACGAGGGGGGGGUCCGGGGGCGGGCGGCGAUCGCUCGGGGCCGGCUCCGAGGGGAGCAGCGCGGCCCCGGGCGGCCUCCGCUGCCCUCUGUGGGCGGCGGGGAGCAGCGGCCCCCGGGCCCCUCGGUGCCCCCCGCUCCCCCCUUCCAGCCCCGCACCCCCGGCAGGUGAACGCCGGCCCGAGACCUGUUGCGAUUUGGGUUCAUUUCGGCCGCGUUUCGUUCAGCAGCCGGCACUUGGGAAUUGUUUCAGCCCGCCCGCUCGCAGCGCGCUUCCCUCGGCCGCCCUCGUUGCCCGUGGCCCUUGAUUUAUUUUUUUAUUUUAUUUUUUUGAUGCCCACCUCGCUCCCCCAGCCUGGUGGAGCUGAGGCGGGCGUCGUGCGGCCUGCUCGGAGGGCUGGAGGGCUGAUCCACAGGGUGUUUGGGUGCUCUGUGGCUCCUCGCCCAACCCUCCCUGGGUGCUGGGGUUGCAUCAGAGCAGGCACUAUCACCACAGCAGGCACUAUCACCAGACCAGGCACUAUCACCACAGCAGGCACUAUCACCAGACCAGGCACUAUCACCACAGCAGGCACUAUCACCACCCAGCUCGGCGUUUUCACCCCGCCGCUGCCGUUCUCCUCCGCACGCUGCACUUGGACGGCUCAGGCGUUUCCCACGGCAUGUUAAUUUUUUCCCUCUGUGGUCUCCAGGAUUCCUUCCCAUGCCUGGCAGCUGUGUUUCUCCGGGAUGUUUCGCCCUUGUCCUCUCACCCAGGGUGGUGCCAGGAGCCCAGGAGCUGCUCGUGGAGUUAGCGCGGCUCCUCCUGCACCCUGGCGUUGUCCCCUUGUCCUCAGAGGAGCACAGGGCUUCAGGUUCCUGAGCAUGACACCACAAGCUCAGGGCAGCGUGCAUCGCUCUGCUCUGCCCUAAACCCAGCACCCGCAGCCAGCCUUGCACCUCUGCUGCACAGUGAGCAGUCCUGACACAGAAAGCCUUUGGUUCUGAGGCACUUCCCUCCCUGCUCGGCAUCCAAACGUUGCUGCAGAACGGCCCUUCUGUGCAUGCCACCGCGAGGCCGCGGAGCUUAGAGAUGCUUCAGAGCACAAGACCACGGGGAAGCUGGGAGAUCCUCGCUGCCGAGCGGUUCACAGAGCUGCAAGUGGGAAUCCAGACCCUCAGCUCCCACCGCAGCCCUGUCGGCGAGGGGAUCACAUCAGCCCAGCCCUACUCCAUCUGAGGUGGAAGCAACAGGCUUUUGAAGUUUGCAUGAAAAAUAGAAGGUUUGGGGUUUAAUGCUCCUUUGCUAAUCUUGUCAGAUGCCUAGCAGCUUAUGAGAGGAGACACUGAAAAGUUGAUCCAAUCUGUGGGAUAGAUAUAGAUACUUUUGGACAGGUUCCUAAUGCAGGUUCCUAAGCACAUUUACAAAUCUAGAUUCAUGUGACUGACACAGAGCUGCCUCAUAAACUUUUGGUGCCCUGGAGCUUCUAGCCAAGACUUGCAAGUAAAUGAUUGUCCCAUGGGUGUAAGCUAUUAAUCAUCAGCAUCAUGAAACGGAGUUUUCACAUACGGCUACCACCCAAAAAUCUUUAUUAUUCCUUUGCACACUUCACGCCCCUAUGACGUAAAAACUUGGAAGACAAUUAAUAAUGUAAGCCCAGGAGGCACUAGUACCUAGUGAUCCACCGAGCACAGGACUGCCAGUCAGUCACCCCUUUACCUGUUCAAGGAUUUGUAGUGGCAAGGCGCCGUAGCUGACAGCAAAGGCACCUACCUAAGCAGUUUGCUUGCUACAGGAUACGUUGGCAUGUUGCCACCAGAGCUGAUGGGGGUGUACAGAGUACAGUGUCCACCAGUCUAUGGGUAGCACCCCGUUGUUUCACGUCUUGUGACUGCAGCCAACCCAGCCAUUCCAGCAGCAAGCUGUUCAGAAGGCAAAGUCCCGGUGUGCAUUCGCAGUACCUGGCUUGGAGGUCACUGCUCAUGGCUAAGCUCUCAGCAGCUAUUCCUUCCCUUUGAUCAGAUCUUCAGA